CGGAGGGUGCGAGCGUUGUCCGGUAUCACUGGGCGUAAAGGGCGCGUAGGCGGUGCGGUAAGCGUGCGGUGAAAGCUCGGGGCUCAACCCCGCGUCGGCCGUGCGAACUGCUGGACUGGAGCAUGUCAGAGGCGGGUGGAAUUCCGGGUGUAGCGGUGGAAUGCGUAGAGAUCCGGAAGAACACCGGUGGCGAAGGCGGCCCGCUGGGACAUAGCUGACGCUGAGGCGCGACAGCGUGGGGAGCAAACAGGAUUAGAUACCCUGGUAGUCCACGCCGUAAACGAUGGGUACUAGGUGCUUGGGGGAGCGACCCCCUGGGUGCCGGCGCUAACGCAUUAAGUACCCCGCCUGGGGAGUACGACCGCAAGGUUG
RNAcentral lists this ribosomal RNA (372 nucleotides) under uncultured organism. Its description in RNAcentral is "bacterial SSU rRNA". It matches the Rfam family "Bacterial small subunit ribosomal RNA", at positions 526 to 896 of the family's 1533-position model. The record is from RNAcentral.